CGCAUGGCUCAAACCAUUUAGCUUUUUAAGGUUCAACUAUGUAAAGCCUGUCUAAAGUCAUCGUCAUUUGUGAUGUCCUGUUCUAGUAUCACCCCUUCAGAGGGACUAAUAUGCAAUACUGACAUGGUAGGUUCUUUUGGUUUGUUGUUUUUGUCCAAAUCUGUUAGGCACGAUUGAUGAAAUCAUCAAAUAAAACCCAUUUGAUAAUGCACGUUAUUUACAAAAGCCCCAUACCUGGAGUCAUUGGGUAAUACUCGUCAAUGUUGUGACUCGGUGCGGGAACGAUUUCUGGGAUGGAUUCGUUGACAUUUAUACCCUCAUUAUGGCCUGUAACGCGGAAGUUAUAUGCAAUGUUGUGUUUAUACCAGAAUGAAGGUCAACAAGACGGGGUAGAGGGUAUACCUGGACUUCCUUGGGGAUGUAGAUCAACAAGAGGUGGUAGAGGUCAACAUGAGAAGAUCAAAUACGAACUAUUUGAUAAUGCACGUUAUUUACAAAAGCCCCAUACCUGGAGUAAUUGGGUAAUACUCGUCAAUGUUGUGACUCGGUGUGGGCACGAUUUCAGGGAUGGAUUCGUCGACAUUUAUACCCUCGUUAUGGCCUGUAACACGGUAGUUAUAUGCAAUGUUGUGUUUACACCAGAAUGAAGGUGAACAAGACGGGGUAGAGGUAAACCUGGACUUCCUUGGGGAUGUAGAUCAACAAGAGGGGGUAGAGGCCAACAUGAGAAGCCAGAGUAGAGGUCCAUUUCAAAGUCAACGUACAGGAGGACAAAGCUACCAACUGCUUACAGGAAAAGCUUGAACCUGGUCGAGCUGGGAACACUGAUAAAGAAAAGGUGUAAUUUAGCUUUGCGUAAAAUUCAGA
This is a non-coding RNA of Triticum urartu, 867 nucleotides long. The record is from RefSeq and is a predicted model, not a curated record. Lineage: Eukaryota; Viridiplantae; Streptophyta; Magnoliopsida; Poales; Poaceae.